This 914-nucleotide ribosomal RNA is filed under the name Phialomyces arenicola. RNAcentral describes it as "LSU rRNA". It matches the Rfam family "Eukaryotic large subunit ribosomal RNA", at positions 38 to 965 of the family's 3401-position model. The record is from RNAcentral. Lineage: Eukaryota; Fungi; Ascomycota; Eurotiomycetes; Eurotiales; Aspergillaceae.
GCAUAUCAAUAAGCGGAGGAAAAGAAACCCAACCGGGAUUGCCUCAGUAACGGCGAGUGAAGCGGCAAGAGCUCAAAUUUGAAAUCUGGCCCCUCCCGGGGUCCGAGUUGUAAUUUGCAGAGGAUGCUUUGGGUACGGCCCCCGUCUAAGUGCCCUGGAACGGGCCGUCAUAGAGGGUGAGAAUCCCGUCUGGGAUGGGGUGUCCGUGCCCGUGUAAAGCUCCUUCGACGAGUCGAGUUGUUUGGGAAUGCAGCUCUAAAUGGGUGGUAAAUUUCAUCUAAAGCUAAAUACUGGCCGGAGACCGAUAGCGCACAAGUAGAGUGAUCGAAAGAUGAAAAGCACUUUGAAAAGAGAGUUAAACAGCACGUGAAAUUGUUGAAAGGGAAGCGCUUGCGACCAGACUCGCCUGCGGGGUUCAGCCGGCUUUCGGGCCGGUGUACUUCCCCGUAGGCGGGCCAGCGUCGGUUUGGGCGGCCGGUCAAAGGCCUCCGGAAUGUAUCGCCCCCCGGGGCGUCUUAUAGCCGGAGGUGCAAUGCGGCCAGCCCGGACCGAGGAACGCGCUUCGGCACGGACGCUGGCAUAAUGGUCGUAAGCGACCCGUCUUGAAACACGGACCAAGGAGUCUAACAUCUACGCGAGUGUUCGGGUGUCAAACCCGUACGCGCAGUGAAAGCGAACGGAGGUGGGAACCCCUCGGGGUGCACCAUCGACCGAUCCUGAUGUCUUCGGAUGGAUUUGAGUAAGAGCGUAAAUGUUGGGACCCGAAAGAUGGUGAACUAUGCCUGAAUAGGGCGAAGCCAGAGGAAACUCUGGUGGAGGCUCGCAGCGGUUCUGACGUGCAAAUCGAUCGUCGAAUUUGGGUAUAGGGGGCGAAAGACUAAUCGAACCCAUCUGGGUAGCUGGGUUCCUGCGAG